CCUACGGGAGGCAGCAGUAAGGGAUAUUGCACAAUGGGCGCAAGCCUGAUGCAGCAACGCCGCGUGCCCGAUGAAGGCCUUCGGGUCGUAAAGGGCUUUUCUGACCGAAGAGGAAGGACAGUAAGUCAGGAAUAAGUGUCGGCUAACUACGUGCCAGCAGCCGCGGUAAAACGUAGGACGCAAGCGUUAUCCGGAGUUACUGGGCGUAAAGCGCGGGCAGGCGGUCUGUUAAGUUCGAGGUGAAAGCGCCCGGCUCAACCGGGCGAGGCCCUUGAAAACUAGGAGACUGGAAGGCAAGAGAGGUGGGCGGAAUUCCGGGUGGAGUGGUGAAAUGCGUAGAGAUCCGGAGGAACACCAGAGGCGAAGGCGGCCCACUGGCUUGCCCUUGACGCUGAACCGCGAAAGCCAGGGGAGCGAACGGGAUUAGAUACCCCGGUAGU
This 440-nucleotide ribosomal RNA is filed under the name uncultured bacterium. RNAcentral describes it as "bacterial SSU rRNA". It matches the Rfam family "Bacterial small subunit ribosomal RNA", at positions 338 to 794 of the family's 1533-position model. The record is from RNAcentral.